Molecule: microRNA precursor, 55 nt
Filed under: Mesocestoides corti
Lineage: Eukaryota; Metazoa; Platyhelminthes; Cestoda; Cyclophyllidea; Mesocestoididae
Description: microRNA mco-mir-2c precursor
Gene: mco-mir-2c
Source: miRBase by way of RNAcentral
UCGUCAACAUUGCCUGUAGACACUGUAAUCGCUGUCACAGCCAAUAUUGAUGAAC